Molecule: unclassified non-coding RNA, 226 nt
Filed under: Centaurea sp. ERS7451
Lineage: Eukaryota; Viridiplantae; Streptophyta; Magnoliopsida; Asterales; Asteraceae
Description: ITS1
Source: RNAcentral
AACACGUAAUCACAACCGCGUGUCGUGGGAUCGGGUGUGAGCCUGAGCCCUGCGAUGCGCGCCGCCAUGCGUGCAAGGUGCCUAUCUUUAGGCAUCGAGGACGUUGUGUCGGCACAAAAACAAACCCCGGCACGGCAUGUGCCAAGGAAAACAAAACUUAAGAAGGGUGCGUCUCGUGUUGCCCCGUUUUCGGUGUGCACACGGGUMGUGGCCUCUCAAUAACCAU